UUUUAGUAGAAGCAAGAAAAAACAAAAUAGCCAAACGAUCCUUCGGUUGUAUGGAACAUGUGAGCAGUGGAUGAUACAUUAGCCACUUCCUCGGUCAAGAAACAAACUGUUGCACACCUCUCUCUCUCUCUCUCUCUCUCUGCAGCCGUUUUAUGUUCUGAUCCUCCCUCUCUCUCUACCUCAUACGCACACAGAGAGAACUCACAGAAACACGAUCCUUUACUUUUAGGGUUUUCGAUGCUCUCGCUUUCUCUCUCUAACUUACUCUCUUCUAUCUCAUCGUUGCGCAGGCGUAGCUUGAGGGUUUAUCGAGCACGUGGGCUAUUGAAUGUCAAUUUAGUUUUAUGCAUGUUUGUUUGAUUACGGCGUGGUGAUUAUAGGCUUAAUCUUUGGUUUUCCUCUACUAAUCAGGUGUUAGUACUAAUGGAGUUUGAAAUGGCAUAACUUGGAACUCACCUUUUGAGUAAUUCCUCAAGGUUUUAAUUGCUUCAUGGCUCGAAAGGGUAAUCAGCAGAAGAAUGGAGUGGACCGUCAUGGAUUGAACCACAAGAAAGGGGGUGGUGGUGGUGUCCUUCCGGGUAUGAAAGGCAAAGGAGGGCCUGUGAAGGUUUUCCCGGGAGAGGAACCUGCAAACGGUGACAGGCCUGCUGGCGGUCUUUCACAUACUGAAUGUGAUGCUAGCUCUGCUUGUGAUGACUAUAACAAUGAGCAAAGAUCUGAAAAAAUUGCCGGGAAAGAGAAGCAAGGGAUGGCUGCAAAGCAUGAUCUGGAGAACUCCUUGUCCUCUGGGAUUAAUUCAGGGGAUGGAAGUCUGAAUUCUGAAAUUCCAGUGUAUGGAGAAAAUGGGACUUUACCUAGAAGUAAUCAAGAUCAACAGAGUAUAAAGAGUAGAUUGAGUUGUAUACUGGAUGGUUUGCAUGUGAGAGGUGUGGUAGAAAGAGUAGAGUUUGCUGAUAAUAUGAUAAUUAGAAGAUUAAGGUUGUCAGUGUUCUCCAUCAUCACAGCAGUUACUGAGUGGAUAACCAGGCAGGCGCCGUUGUUUGUUUCUCUGAAAACCAUAACUAUUAGAGCCUAUGAUAACAUCAGAACGAAAGUUGCGCAUGCAUAUCCUGUUGUUCUUAAGUGGCUCAUGCAUUUUGGAAGCAUUAUGCUCCUGUUAUCGGUAUUUUGGUUGGAUUGUACCCUCCGAGGUAUUGAUUCAUUUGUACGUAUGGGUACAACAUCCUUCUUCACAGUUAUAUGGUGCAGCAUAUUCUCAGUGAUUAGUAUGAUAGGGAUGCUCAAGUUUUUAGUUGUCCUGGGCCUGGCUGCCUUGAUUGGAUUUUUUCUUGGCCUCAUGCUUGCAAUUUUGGUAGUUGCAAUCCUGGGAGUUGUUACGUUGUGGUUCUAUGGUAGCUUUUGGACAACAGCAUUUUUCAUCAUCCUUGGAGGAUUGGCAUUUAUGUUAAGUCAUGAACGAAUGGCACUAUUUAUCACCACUGGGUAUUCUGUUUAUUGUGCUUGGCUGUACGUUGGGUGGCUUGGUUUGCUAUUGGCUUUCAAUUUAGCUUUCAUCUCAAGUGAUAUUCUGAUAUACUUCCUCAAGAAAAACAUUGAUCAACAGAGUAGAUCCAAUCCUUUUGAGCAAACGGCUGGAAUGCAUGGUCAACCAGGAUUUAAUGAUGAACCAAUGCAGGGAUCUUCCUCUGAAAAUGGACCAGGACCAUCUGCAGAUCGUAAUGCCGGAGUCCCUUCAACUAGUGGAGUUGAUUCUGAUGUAACUUCUGAAGAUGAAGUUGUCCGUUUGUUGAACUGCUCUGAUCACUAUUCAGCACUUGGCUUGACACGGUAUCAAAAUAUAGAUGUCUCAAUACUGAAGCGGGAAUAUAGGAAGAAGGCAAUGUUGGUACAUCCUGAUAAAAAUAUGGGUAAUGAAAAGGCUGCAGAAGCAUUUAAGAAACUUCAAAAUGCAUAUGAGAUUCUAAUGGAUUCCUUGAAGCGAAAAGCUUAUGAUGAUGAGCUAAGGAGAGAAGAACUUUUGAGUGUAUUUCGCAGAUUUCAUGAUGCUUCCCGUAAGAAUGGUAGGCAUGGGUUCUUUUCGUCAGGAUUUGCACGAUCAGAUGCUGAUGGUGAAGACCCAUUUGGUGAUUCAAGACGAAUAGCCUGCAAAAAGUGUGGGGGUUUUCAUGUCUGGAUACACACCAAGAAACAAAAGUCUCGGGCAAGAUGGUGCCAGGUUUAUUCAUCUUUUUUCUCCCCCCCGCCCUCUCAAUGAAGCCUAGGUAGCAUGUGUAACUGACUUAGCUAGGCUGCCUAACCACAUUAAUAAUUGAAAAAAUCUUGCCAGUAUCCUAUCGUGCGAUUUCCCUAAAAAAGAAAGCAUUUUUGUACAUGUCAUGGUACUAACGUUUUACAAUGGGGUCUUUUGUUUUAAAGGAUUGCCAAGAUUUUCAUCAAGCCAAGGAUGGUGAUGGAUGGGUUGAACAAUCUUCCCAACCGUUUCUUUUUGGCUUAUUGCAGAAGGUAGUUGCUCCUUUGGCAUAUGUGUGCGCUGAUAGCAGAAUAUAUAACGCCACUGAAUGGUAUAUCUGUCAGGGUAUGAGAUGUCCAGCGAAUACUCAUAAACCAAGUUUUCAUGUGAACACUAGUUUAAUGUCCAAGCAUAGUUCUGGCAAAGGAGCUACUUCAGCUCAAAGAGGUGGGCGGAUGCCGACACCUAAUAUUGAAGAAACCAUGACUGAGGAAGAAUUCUUUGAGUGGUUUCAGAAUGCAGUACAGGCAGGUGUGUUUGACAAUUAUAGUGGCACUGCAGCAGAAAGCCCAUCUUCCAAAUCUGGAAAUGGGAUGAAAAGUCCUGGCAAUGGUAGUGGUAGUAGCACCAAGAGAAAGAAAAAAGGAAAAAAGCAAUGGUGAUAUCUAAAUCAUGUUUUAUCAUAAUAGCAGAGUUGCCUUGAGCACUUCGCAGGCUUGAAAGGCAUGUAAGUUUCAGAGUUGCUAUCUGUUAACGAAGCCCCAAAAUUGAGUUGGUGCCUGUUGUACAGCGUCAUUUUUCUCAAGUGUAGAUCUAUUCUCCAAUAAAUUUUUGGUAUACCUUUAGCCUUUCUAGUACAGCUUUGUGGCAAUGGUCCCCUGCGCAUGAUUUUCCUUGUCAAAGAUUCAAUCUUAAGCGGCGAGGAUCAAACUGGGUCUUCUAUGCAAUUAGACGAAAAUAUCAUGCAUGAAUCAUAUGAUCUAUCUCGGCCAAAGGAAGAGAGAACAAAUUGUAUCAAGCUUCAAUUUUCAACAGCCAGAGCAUACUCCUAGCACCUCAGAUGCUACCUUACAUUAACCGUGUUUUGGAUUAGUUCAUAAUUGUGACUUAACGGUCUUGAAUAUAGUUGAUUCAAUUAAUAAAUAUAUUAAAGUUAUAAAUUAUUGUGGUUUGCUUGAUAUUGAAUUUUGCCAAAUACAUGAAUGUUAAAAGUGCAAUCAAAUAUGCUCACCAAAAAGUGUAAUGUCUUUCCAAAUUUAUAUAUAUAUUAUUAUCAC
Molecule: RNA transcript, 3507 nt
Organism: Abrus precatorius (Indian licorice)
Lineage: Eukaryota; Viridiplantae; Streptophyta; Magnoliopsida; Fabales; Fabaceae
Gene name: dnaJ homolog subfamily C member 14
Exons: 9
Source: RefSeq, a predicted model, not a curated record